AAGCCGUAACAAGGUUUCCGUAGGUGAACCUGCGGAAGGAUCAUUAACACGUCUUGCAUCCUAGGAACAGCAAUCCUGGUAAAUCAGUCGCGAAGAUACAGGACCUCUGCCCAAAAGAUGUGAUUGAGCGCUCGAGGCAAGUGGCCUAGCUUCCCCAAGCGGAUUGUGCAAGGAUAACGCUUCACGGAUGCUGUAGGCCGAUCACCGGCCGGCGUCGUGGUCACCGGGCUCACGCCCCUUCGAAACAACCAGUAGUUAGCGUAUGUCUCCUCGACACAGCAAGUGCGCCGUCGUAGGAGAAAAACGAACAACUGAUAUCUUGGUUCUC
This 328-nucleotide unclassified non-coding RNA is filed under the name fungal sp. RNAcentral describes it as "partial internal transcribed spacer region". The stretch from base 1 to 46 matches the Rfam family "Eukaryotic small subunit ribosomal RNA", at positions 1786 to 1831 of the family's 1831-position model. The record is from RNAcentral. Lineage: Eukaryota; Fungi.